Molecule: long non-coding RNA, 628 nt
Organism: Phacochoerus africanus (Common warthog)
Lineage: Eukaryota; Metazoa; Chordata; Mammalia; Artiodactyla; Suidae
Exons: 3
Source: RefSeq, a predicted model, not a curated record
CAAACCCGCGUGAGCACACACACACCCCACCCGCAGCCCCAGCCCAGGGUACCUCAGUGUGUCGUUCCCAUAGCAACCGAGAUCCCCGAUGCCCAGAUCGUCCGCCAUGAUCAGCAGAAUAUUUGGUUUAAAGGCGGGACCUGCUUUGGAUGCGCAAGUCGGCAGAAGCAAACACACAUUCUACCACAUGGUCACGUGGAAUCUGUGCUGACCAAAAGCCUAGGGCAGAGGAGAGGGGACUGCGCGGCCUUAAGACUAACCCCGAGGCCGAGGCGUUCCCAUUGCGGCUCAGAGGGCUGAGAGAUGACGUUUCAGAGCCAUGGCCUGGAGCUGUUUGGCAGACACUGAAAGACUGAAGACGUUACCUGCAUGCUGCCCACCUGCACGGAGAUCCCGGACCCACUGGAACCAGAAGGUGGGUGGCGCUGACUCCUCCCCACCCGGCCAUCAGAAGAGAGUCCCUGAGCUGAUCACAUCCCCCACACCCUCUCUUCUGCAUGGUACCCUUUUCCUCUUUUCCUUGUAUCAUCUCCUAGCAAAACUUGGGGAGUGGAGGGUUGGGACAUGAGUCUACCUUCUCCCCAGGACUGCCGGCUUCCUCAAUAAAGCCGUCUUUCCUUUCAUCCCA